AAUGAUGCGCUGGAAAGUGAAACUACUAUGUUGAAGAAUAUUCAGCUUGCUAGAACACUACAAGUUUUCCCUGUAUAUGUUUACUGUAUAUUUUCAGCAACUAUGAAAGCUGCAAAAAACCCACAUAUUACCUCAGAAGUAAUCUCAGUAUUUUAAUUCCCCUGUGGAUGCAGAUGCCUGAGGCUCAGCCCUGAAGCAGACACGUAAGCUCCUGAGGUUGUUCAAGCAUCUUGCACAGUCUACAAAGAACUAUGCGUAUUUCUUGAGUCCUAUGGGGAAUGUUUUUGGAGAUCCCUGUCUACCCUUGCUGACAUCACAGGAGCUUAAGCAAUAGUUCCAGGAAGCGUUUGUAAGUAACUGAAGUUUUCAGUUUAUUCUGGUACUUACUACAUUGAGAGACACAGUAUAUACGUACUAGCGUCUACUAUAUACUACUAUACGUCCAAGGUUCCUUUCAGCGCAAGCCUGCUGGGCUCCACUAAAGUAAGCCCAAAUGGAGAGUUUCCUUGAUGUUUGUUCCUGAAAGGCAGUGUGCAUGAAGACCAUUCCAAAUUAUGUUCCCUCUGUUUAAAAUCCCUUCAGAUUUUGCUUGUAUUCACUACUCCCUUUCUUAUUCUCUCGUGUCUUCAUUUCUUUUGCUUUCUAUUUUUUAUUUUAUUUUUGAAUAUACAUUUUCAAAGUCUUCUUGCCUCAAUGGAAUUUUACUAUAACUCAUUCAGACUAUGUAUUUUUUUUUUGUUGUUCUUUUUAUACCUUUUUGAUCUGACCAUACUAUUAAAGCAUACAAAGUACUAAUUCCUACCAAUUCUCUACCAGUUAAUACUGUAUUAUUUUCUUCUCAGUUGCUGAUUUCAUCUUUUAUUCUCUAUCCACGGUGAAAAGGGUAGACUAAUUAGAUUUUAAAUGCCAUAGUGUAGUUCUAAAUAAAGUAUUAUUCAUUAAAAAUUAACCUUUUAUUAUGACAAUUCUUGAUAUAAUAGGGCACACAUUGACUGUAAGCUAAUUUAUACAUUUAAAUUCUAUCUCCAUAAGAAAAAUUAGACAGUUAUAUAAUAUAGGAGGAUAAAUGAAACAUGGAAGUGUUACUGUAAAGCAAUUGUAGUAGAAUGACAAUUGCUUGAAAAAGUAAUAAUUGUUUCAUAGUGCUACAUGUUAUGUAGUGUACAUGUAUGUAGUAUAAAAACUGAAUUUAAAACAGUGUUAAUGAGUUUUUCAAUUUUUUUUUUUUCUGUGUGUGUGCUGUGUCUCCUGACAAGUUGCAUUGGACACACAUCACAUAACAGUUUUAUUUUCAACUUUUUAUCAUUAGCAUAACAAGAAUUUAGCUUUCCAGGACGCUAUACAGGGAAAUGUUUUCUCUGUAUAAAAUUUUCUCAAGGUCUUUAACAGUCCUUUUAUUAUUAUGAUGAUUAAUACCCUACUUUUGAAAUUUCCUUUAUGCUAUUAUUCAAACUUUAGGAAUAAUGUCAUGUAGUCCUGGAGAGGAGUCAUCCUGUUUUGUUAACUCACUAAUUCCUGUGUCAUCCAUUUGAACGCGUGCCCAGCGUAUCAUUUUUUCUAAUGUACUUAGUAAUGGGUAAAAUAGUGGUAGUAAUAAAACCUAUUGCUUCAGCUAUGUUACUACAUUAAA
RNAcentral lists this long non-coding RNA (1630 nucleotides) under Gallus gallus (chicken). RNAcentral's name for it is "lncRNA (ENSGALG00010007420.1)". The record is from RNAcentral. Lineage: Eukaryota; Metazoa; Chordata; Aves; Galliformes; Phasianidae.